GCNCCCNUCGUCUAGAGGCCUAGGACACCAGCCUUUCACGUUGGGUACACGGGUUCGAAUCCCGUAGGGAGCGCCA
Molecule: transfer RNA, 76 nt
Filed under: Cylindrospermopsis raciborskii CS-506_C
Lineage: Bacteria; Bacillati; Cyanobacteriota; Cyanophyceae; Nostocales; Aphanizomenonaceae
Description: tRNA-Glu
Rfam family: tRNA
About the family: Transfer RNA (tRNA) molecules are approximately 80 nucleotides in length.
Source: RNAcentral